RNAcentral lists this ribosomal RNA (926 nucleotides) under Limosilactobacillus fermentum. Its description in RNAcentral is "bacterial SSU rRNA". It matches the Rfam family "Bacterial small subunit ribosomal RNA", at positions 382 to 1302 of the family's 1533-position model. The record is from RNAcentral. Lineage: Bacteria; Bacillati; Bacillota; Bacilli; Lactobacillales; Lactobacillaceae.
GCUGAUGGAGCACACCGCGUGAGUGAAGAAGGGUUUCGGCUCGUAAAGCUCUGUUGUUAAAGAAGAACACGUAUGAGAGUAACUGUUCAUACGUUGACGGUAUUUAACCAGAAAGUCACGGCUAACUACGUGCCAGCAGCCGCGGUAAUACGUAGGUGGCAAGCGUUAUCCGGAUUUAUUGGGCGUAAAGAGAGUGCAGGCGGUUUUCUAAGUCUGAUGUGAAAGCCUUCGGCUUAACCGGAGAAGUGCAUCGGAAACUGGAUAACUUGAGUGCAGAAGAGGGUAGUGGAACUCCAUGUGUAGCGGUGGAAUGCGUAGAUAUAUGGAAGAACACCAGUGGCGAAGGCGGCUACCUGGUCUGCAACUGACGCUGAGACUCGAAAGCAUGGGUAGCGAACAGGAUUAGAUACCCUGGUAGUCCAUGCCGUAAACGAUGAGUGCUAGGUGUUGGAGGGUUUCCGCCCUUCAGUGCCGGAGCUAACGCAUUAAGCACUCCGCCUGGGGAGUACGACCGCAAGGUUGAAACUCAAAGGAAUUGACGGGGGCCCGCACAAGCGGUGGAGCAUGUGGUUUAAUUCGAAGCUACGCGAAGAACCUUACCAGGUCUUGACAUCUUGCGCCAACCCUAGAGAUAGGGCGUUUCCUUCGGGAACGCAAUGACAGGUGGUGCAUGGUCGUCGUCAGCUCGUGUCGUGAGAUGUUGGGUUAAGUCCCGCAACGAGCGCAACCCUUGUUACUAGUUGCCAGCAUUAAGUUGGGCACUCUAGUGAGACUGCCGGUGACAAACCGGAGGAAGGUGGGGACGACGUCAGAUCAUCAUGCCCCUUAUGACCUGGGCUACACACGUGCUACAAUGGACGGUACAACGAGUCGCGAACUCGCGAGGGCAAGCAAAUCUCUUAAAACCGUUCUCAGUUCGGACUGCA